This 607-nucleotide ribosomal RNA is filed under the name Syncephalastrum racemosum. RNAcentral's name for it is "eukaryotic LSU rRNA". It matches the Rfam family "Eukaryotic large subunit ribosomal RNA", at positions 50 to 667 of the family's 3401-position model. Lineage: Eukaryota; Fungi; Mucoromycota; Mucoromycetes; Mucorales; Syncephalastraceae. The record is from RNAcentral.
GCGGAGGAAAAGAAAAUAACCAUGAUUGCCCUAGUAACGGCGAGUGAAGAGGCAAAAGCUCAAGUUUGGAAGCUCAAUGGUUUAACCAUUGCGCAUUGUAAACUGAAAACAGGAUCAAUCAGGUACACCGGGUGAUAAGUUCCUUGGAAUAGGACAUCAUGGAGGGUGAGAAUCCCGUCUUUGACCCGAGUCUAGUAUCYUUKUUAUUGGCCUGUUCAAGAGUCAGGUUGUUUGGGAAWGCAGCCUAAAGCUGGAGGUAAAUCCCUCCUGAAGYUAAAUAAUGGCGAGAGACCGAUAGCGAACAAGUACCGUGAGGGAAAGAUGAAAAGAACUCUGAAGAGAGAGUUAAACAGUACGUGAAAUUGCUUAAAGGGAAGCAUAUAAAGCUAGGAUGCGAUUGUUUUUUUCAGGUUGAGCUUUGGCUUGACUGUUCAGAAGGAUAAUCCAAGACAACAAGAAUUGGAGGAGGAGAAUAAGCCAUUGGGGAAGGUAAUCCUUCGGGAUGUUUAUAGACCUGAUGGUUCGCGCUCUUCUUUCGAUUGAGGUACGCUUUUUUUAAAGGUUGUUGUCUGAAUGGCUUUAUAUGGCCCGUCUUGAAACACGGACC